CCGACCUUAGCUCAGUUGGUAGAGCGGAGGACUGUAGUGCGUGCAGAUAAAUCCUUAGGUCGCUGGUUCGAAUCCGGCAGGUCGGA
This 86-nucleotide transfer RNA is filed under the name Ananas comosus (pineapple). It matches the Rfam family "tRNA". Rfam says of the family: Transfer RNA (tRNA) molecules are approximately 80 nucleotides in length. Their secondary structure includes four short double-helical elements and three loops (D, anti-codon, and T loops). The record is from Rfam by way of RNAcentral. Lineage: Eukaryota; Viridiplantae; Streptophyta; Magnoliopsida; Poales; Bromeliaceae.